This 3586-nucleotide long non-coding RNA is filed under the name Sus scrofa (pig). RNAcentral describes it as "lncRNA (ENSSSCG00000054134.1)". The record is from RNAcentral. Lineage: Eukaryota; Metazoa; Chordata; Mammalia; Artiodactyla; Suidae.
GGCCGGUUAACUCUUGCAAGUCUGAUACACACACCAUUUUAUGCUCUUUAGCUGAUGGUCCUUUCCUCUUUAUACUACCAAAGAGUUCUCUCUGAUAUUGAAGAAAGUUUAAAACAUCUCCCUGGUCCAGGUGAUAUUUGAUUGCAAGGAACCAAAACUCAGUCCAAUUCACACACACACAUGUUUAUUGUAUUAAAAGAUAUAGACCUCAUAAGUAGCAAGAAACAAAUAAGCCUAAGGAGGGAAUGAACCAAGACUCUCCAGGCACCUCAGUCAGCAGUUGCUCCUGGAUUUUCUGUCCAAUGCUUAGUUAAAAAAAAAAAAAAAAAUCAUCGUAUCAGCUGCUUCAUAGCCAAUGAAUUGGAACCCUAGCUCAUGUGUCUACCCUGAUCAGUAGCCAAGGUUAUGCAGGACCUAGAGCUACCCCUUGGGGAAAUGAGUGGAAUAGGUUGAGUUUAGGUCAGAGCAAUGUUCAUAAAGACAAGUAUCCAUUAUUCUUGUUCAAGGCCCCAAUCUCAGCCCUACCACUGUACAAAUAAUUCAUCAGCAUGACUGUGGAGAUUGCUUGAAAACAUAUAUGUGAAUUGGGACCAAUUUAUCUCUGCUACUGAAGGAGAAAAAUUUUUGCAAUAAUUCAUAGUCCUGGAUGUACUGAUAGGAAUCAGUAGUAUCAUGUUAACCUGCAAGGAUCAUGACUUGUGAAGAAAAACCCAAGCCCAGUUUCCUUUUUUUCCUACAAAUUGGAGACAUGAAUUGGCCAGACUCAAGGAAUGGAGUUCCCAUGUUGGUGCAGUGGAAACGGAAUCCAACUAGAAACCAUGAGGUUGCUGGUUCAAUCCCUGGCCUUGCUCAGUGGGCUAAGGAUCCAGCAUUGCCAUGAGCUAUUGUGUAGGUUGCAGACAUGGCUCAGAUCUGGUGUUGCUGUGACUGUGGCAAAGGCCAGCAGCUGUAGCUCAGUUUAGACCCUUAGUCUGGGAACCUCCAUAUGCCAGGCAUGUGGCAGGUUACAGGUUACAGGUUUAUGCUAUCUCACAAGGUGUAUAGUUGAAAAGAUGAAUCAAAGACGAUAAUGGUGGUGAAUAGCUCACAUUGUUAGGAUGGGAUUUGGAGUCAGAUUUGGUUCAGGACAGGAUUCCACCACUCACUGCCUGUGAGACUUUGAUCAAAUUACUUAAUCUCUUUGACCCUCAGUUCCCUCAGCGUUAAAAUGAGAGUGAUAACGCUACUGAUCUCAUAGGAGGCUGUUGAGAGCAGUGAGAAAAAGGAUGCAAAGAGCUUAACAUGCUGCCUGGCAUGUAUGUGCUGCCUUUAUCAAAUAAUUUAAAUAGACCUUUCAUAUAUGGCAAUGCUUGUUUUAUGACAUCUCUUUCUACGCUCUCUAAAUACUGCUUUGCAUGUGCAUGCAUAACUUUUCAUUUUAAAAAUAAGCAAACAAAAAAGAACAUUCAGCAAAUAAUUGAGAAGGAGAUAAUUCUAGUCUGGGCAUGCCAAUCAAAAUAUUAACAAAGGAAGAAUGGAAGCUGAUCAGAUGUUAAGAAGGUGUGACUUUGAGCUCGCAAGUAAACCUGAGAUUUCCAUCAAUAAAUGUGGUUUCCUCCUCUGUCUCCUUGUUUUGUUGAGCUGAAAUACAGAAUUAGGAGGCACAUAUUCUAGGCCAGCUCUGUGAAGCAAACCACCAGCCACUUGCAGGACUUAAAUUUAUAGCACCCAUAAAAUGUAUAGUUAUGUACGAGAAUACAGAAUAAACAGUCUAGAAGAUAAGAAAUUUAAUAAAAAUUGCAGAUACACACAGCCAGCUGCUAAAGGUUGGAAUGGCAAUAUUUUUAGCGGUGGAUAUGUGCUGCCAUUGAAUGCUUAAAUCAGUGCAGGUGGGACAUUAAAAGCUUCUGCGAGGUCAGGUUGCUCCAGGUACUUUGCAAGGUUAUAUCAUCCAUGAAUGAAUGAUUUUGCACAGGAGAGUCAGAGGCCAGAGUAUCCUCUUAGUCCCCAAGGAUUCUCAUCUGUUGUGACUAGCAAAAUCCCAAAGUAAGAGGACAGGUCAGAGAUCUGAGAUCCAGGGCCUUGCUGGAACGCGUCGAUUCUUAGAAGUAAGCGUCUUGGUAUGAUAAAUACGAACUCCUCAAGCCCGUUAGGGAAUGGAAAUUUAAGAACCGGUUAGGUCAAAGAUCAGGAAAUUUAUGACGAUUAUCUGCGGUUACAGUGUAGAGUGUUUGAGGAUGGUUUAAGCCAAAGAGUCCAGUGCCUGUAAAUCUUGAGAGUGAUAUUAAUACCUCUGUGAGCAUGUGUGUACAACGUUUCUGAAAAGAUUAAUUGCAAAGGCCAGUUCCCAGGAAAGACAAGCAGGUAAUUGGCAUUUAAUUAAUGAGAAUAAGUUAUAUUAAAUUAAAGACUUAUAAUCCUUGAUUAUUUAUCUUCUUGUAGCCAGUGUGACAAUCUACUCUUAGAUUAUUAACUUGGUACUGUUUUUCAAGAGGCCAAACUAAACCUUCUGUUCAGACUGUAUAAAUAAGAAUACGUUUGCAUCUCAACCAUGGGAAUGAAGUGAAUUUGGGGAAACCACAGAAGGAUUUUUUUUAAGCAUAAAUGAUUUAAAAAUUAAACCCAGCAGAGCAUGCAAGUUAUUCUCAGGAAUAUUCCACACCUCCAAAAUCCACAAGAGUUGUAUUAUUGUAUAGCAGAAAGGGUAUAAGCUUGAGGGUCAGUCUGACCUGGGGUUGAGUCCUGGCUCUGCUUCAUAUUAACCCUAUAACCUCAGGUAUGUUAUUAAAAUUCUCUGAGGUUCCGUUCUCUUACCUUCAUAAAUGGGAAAAUAAUACGCACCUGGCAUACAGAGUUUUAAAAAUUAAAUACUUUAAAUUCCCUUGGUCCACUACCUAUCACAUAGACAAUGUUCAAUAAAAGGUUUUUCUCUUAAUUUGUUCUCUUGUAGCAAGGGAUGUCAGAGGUUAGAAAAUUAUUAUAGAAUAAAAUUGAAAGAUUCAUUCUAUUUUGAUAAGUAUUAUUAAAGAUACAUUAACACAGGGUGGUUUGGGGAAUGGAUAGAUACAUACUUCAAUGGAAUAGACUAGAAAGUCCAAAAUGGACCCACACAAGUAUGACCAAUUCAUUUUUUUUUUUAAUGAAAAGGCAGUUCACUGAAGAGAGUCAGGUCUUUUCAACAAAUGGCAUUAGGACAAUUGGGCUUCAUAUGCAAAAACAAAUAAACUUAGACCUAAACCUCAUACCUUAUACAAAUUCAAAAUAGAUAAUUGGUCUAAUUUUAAAACAUGAAUCUGAAAGAGUUUCAGAAGAAAACACGAGAGAAAAUAUUCAUAAUCUGGAAUCAGACGAGUUCUUAAAUAUGACAUGAAGAUCAUAAUCUGUACAACCAAAAAUUGCGAAGUUGGACUUUUUUGAAAUUAAAAACUUUUGCUCUGUUAAUGACACAUUUGAAAAAUGAAAAGGCAGAGUCCCCUUCAUGUCUCAGUGUUAACGAACCCAACCAGGAUCCAUGAGGAUUCGGGUUAGAUCCCUGGCCUUUCUCAGUGAGUUAAGGACCUGGUGUUGCUGUGAGCUAUGGUGAAGUUUGCAGACGUGGCUCAGAUCC